RNAcentral lists this ribosomal RNA (457 nucleotides) under uncultured bacterium. RNAcentral describes it as "bacterial SSU rRNA". It matches the Rfam family "Bacterial small subunit ribosomal RNA", at positions 32 to 514 of the family's 1533-position model. The record is from RNAcentral.
AAUCAACGCUGGCGGCGCGCUUAACACAUGCAAGUCGAGCGAGAAAGUGGAGCAAUCCAUGAGUACAGCGGCGUACGGGUGAGUAACACGUGGGUCAUCUACCUUUUAGUGGGGAAUAACCCUGGGAAACCGGGGCUAAUACCGCAUAAUCCUGUGAAGGGAAAGCAGCAAUGCGCUGAAAGAGGAGCCCGCGGCCGAUUAGCUAGUUGGUGAGGUAACGGCUCACCAAGGCGACGAUCGGUAGCCGGCCUGAGAGGGCACACGGCCACACUGGCACUGAAACACGGGCCAGACUCCUACGGGGGGCAGCAGUGGGGAAUCUUGCACAAUGGAGGCAACUCUGAUGCAGCGACGCCGCGUGAGCGAUGAACGCCCCUCGGGGGUGUAAAGCUCUUUCGGCGAGGGACGAUAAUGACGGUACCUGAAGAAGAAGCUGCGGCUAACUACGUGCCAGCAG